Manduca sexta (tobacco hornworm) is the source of this 1394-nucleotide RNA transcript. RefSeq lists it as uncharacterized. The record is from RefSeq and is a predicted model, not a curated record. Lineage: Eukaryota; Metazoa; Arthropoda; Insecta; Lepidoptera; Sphingidae. The transcript has 3 exons.
CAUUAUAUUAAAUACAGGUAAAAUUCUCAGGCGAUCUUAUUUAUAAUUUUAAAUCUAAAAUUUUGCACAGGCAAAACCGCGUGCAAUAGUAGUGACAUUAACGUAAUGUGAUGAAACUUACUUUUUACCUUAGACCCAACAGGGUAUUGAGCUGGCAACGUCCCAUAGGUUCACUUCACGACCUUGACGACGGUCAAUAGGAAGAGCGGCAACGUCGGUUGUAAUAUGUCAAAUCAUAAAUAAAGCUUCUAUCAAAUACUCAUAACAAUGGAGGUACACGAGUGUACUUUGUUUACCGUUGUUUACUUUUCUUGACGUAAGUGAAGACGCUAUUUCAAGAAAUUUGAAGUGCUAAUUCAUUAAAAUAUGUACGCUUUCAUGACUGUGCCUCAACUUAAAGUUGAGGUUCGUAAAAGAAAUGCGUCAAUUGCCGGAAAAAAAGGCUAAUUUGAUAGAAAGAUUGCAAUCUAAUGACCGGAAUAAAAAUUUUGGUGUUGACUGCGAGAUCCAAGAGGAGAUCGCAUAUCUGAGUCCAGCCACUGAUACUUUCAGAGACAUAAUUGCGGACACUUCUUUACCAAUGAUUACGAGACAAGCAAUACAGGAAUAUUUUGAAAGUUAUGUACCCAUAUGUAAUGAUUAUAAUCUUAGGCAGUUGUUUACAAAGAUGACAGUGUAAAUUUUAUGUAUUUAAAUUGGUAUACCUACACUCAUAUAUCAUGAUAUCUUGAUAACAUUAUAUUAUAUUUUCUUACUACAUUAUUGUUUUUGCAGAUAUAAUACUCAGCAUAAAGGACAACUCCUGUACGAAUUUCGACAUCUUGUGACUGCCCGCUAUUCCACAGAUGGCAUUUAUACCCACUUGCGAGGACAAUGUAAAGCCAGUAUGAAAAAAAUGACAUGUGAACCCGCAAAUCCACAUGGCAUUGAAUGGGAUCGUUACACCUAUGUAGAUAGGACUCCAAUAGAUAUUUUACUAGAGAAGCUAUUAUUAAAAAUAUUAUAUCUGAACAAAUUCAGGAAGUGAGAAGAAUACAAGAGCCCAAAGUGAUUCCUCUGAGUGGCAUGAAAGAUCAUGCAGGAUUACUGCCAGUAUGUUUCAUUUAGUGUGCCACAGUAAAACAUAUGAGUACCAAAAAUAUAUGUAAUCGAUAUGAUUUUGGCCCCCAAAGCUGUGCAGACUAUGUUAGUUGUGCAUAGUAAAAUCCAAGAAACUAUUUCCAUUGCCAAAUAUGAUAGAGAUUAUGGACUAAAAAUAAAAAAAAGUGGAUUCAUUAUAUCAUUUGAAUAUCCUUUUCUGGCUGUUUCUCCAGACGGUAUAUUGGGUAAAGAUACUAUUGUUGAGGUUAAGUGUCCAUAUGCUGCUAGAUAUUAUAAAAUAACCUCUGUGACUG